UGCAAGUCGAGCGGUAUUGUUUCUUCGGAAACGAGAGAGCGGCGCACGGGUGCGGAACACGUGUGCAACCUGCCUUUAUCUGGGGGAUAGCCUUUCGAAAGGAAGAUUAAUACCCCAUAAUAUUUUGAAUGGCAUCAUUUAAAAUUGAAAACUCCGGUGGAUAGAGAUGGGCACGCGCAAGAUUAGAUAGUUGGUAGGGUAACGGCCUACCAAGUCAGUGAUCUUUAGGGGGCCUGAGAGGGUGAUCCCCCACACUGGUACUGAGACACGGACCAGACUCCUACGGGAGGCAGCAGUGAGGAAUAUUGGACAAUGGGUGAGAGCCUGAUCCAGCCAUCCCGCGUGAAGGACGACGGCCCUAUGGGUUGUAAACUUCUUUUGUACAGGGAUAAACCUUUCCACGUGUGGAAAGCUGAAGGUACUGUACGAAUAAGCACCGGCUAACUCCGUG
RNAcentral lists this ribosomal RNA (451 nucleotides) under uncultured bacterium. RNAcentral describes it as "bacterial SSU rRNA". It matches the Rfam family "Bacterial small subunit ribosomal RNA", at positions 56 to 507 of the family's 1533-position model. The record is from RNAcentral.